This 95-nucleotide transfer RNA is filed under the name Synergistaceae bacterium. Its description in RNAcentral is "tRNA-Ser". It matches the Rfam family "tRNA". From Rfam's summary of the family: Transfer RNA (tRNA) molecules are approximately 80 nucleotides in length. Their secondary structure includes four short double-helical elements and three loops (D, anti-codon, and T loops). The record is from RNAcentral. RNAcentral also lists the same sequence under 2 other names. Lineage: Bacteria; Thermotogati; Synergistota; Synergistia; Synergistales; Synergistaceae.
GGUGGGUUGGCCGAGUAGGUCGAAGGCGCUCGCCUGCUAAGCGAGUAGGGGGGCCCAAACCUCCCUCGAGGGUUCGAAUCCCUCACCCACCGCCA